AUGCCACCAAUAAAAUAUAUUGUGCAAAUAAAUCUUGCUAUAUGCAUUAUUUGGUAGGUCCAACAGCAGGAAAUCUCUUCAAACCUCUGUGCUGUUUCUGUAUCACUUUUUAUUAAAUACUUCUUGAAGAAUAUUGAAAAAUAUGAGAAAUGUCCCAAUGCUUUCAUUGUCAUGGAACAUAAAUGGUUCAGUAACAAGGAUGCCACAAUGGAAAGAAAUAAAUGGCACAGAACUUUGCACACAUUGUUUACUCUGCAUUGAUCUAAGUUUAUCAACACAAAGGAAUAUUUUAUUGUAUAUUUUUUAAAACUUCUAUAUACAAUGUUUUUAAGGUGAUGCAAUAUUCUGUGGUUGCAAAUUAACCAUUGCUGCACAGAUAGACGCAACAGAAUCAAUAUAUUGUUUCAUUGUUAAUGGGAUUACACCUUGUAAUAUACUAAAUGACUUGAGUCGUUGAAUAAUUCUUUCAAUGUGAAUCCUCUUUGUAGCUACUCUCCUUGUCAUUGUUGUUACACCAGUGCCAACAUUACCUUUAUGCUUAAUU
This is a long non-coding RNA of Xenia sp. Carnegie-2017, 544 nucleotides long. RefSeq lists it as uncharacterized. The record is from RefSeq and is a predicted model, not a curated record. The transcript has 2 exons. Lineage: Eukaryota; Metazoa; Cnidaria; Anthozoa; Malacalcyonacea; Xeniidae.